This 2899-nucleotide long non-coding RNA is filed under the name Olea europaea (common olive). RNAcentral's name for it is "long non-coding RNA (OEUR_LNC008155)". Lineage: Eukaryota; Viridiplantae; Streptophyta; Magnoliopsida; Lamiales; Oleaceae. The record is from RNAcentral.
UAUAUUGCAAUUUGUCGUAAAAUACACCGGAAAUUGUUGCUUGAUCAAAAUUGUAUUGUAUUGGAGUUCUACCUCAUCAUUUCAAUAUGUCUAUUUGUCAACUAAUUCAUAUAGCUUUUGAGCGUCUCGUGAAUGGCAUCUGGUAGCUUCUGUCCUCUAAUGGAAGUCUGUUUCUUGGAACACAAUAGCACUUAUAUAAUUAAGUCAUUUCUUUUUAGCUGAGUGAAACGUGCUCUAUAAUCAGCUGAUAGUACAUUUAUUCACAGUUUAAUUCUUGCUUAACCAUUUUUGUCGAAUAUAAACGGACAUAUUUUGGCAAUGAAAAUAUUGGUCAUGCUACUUCAAUUAUGAACCCAAGUAAAAAAUCAAUAUUGCGUGCAAAUAAAUGGAUUGCCUUUAUAUGAGGUUUUUCGUCUAUUGGAUUCUGUACUAAUUUGUCCAUUAUUUAGCCCCUGUUUGAUGGUCAUUAUUUCGAAGAAGUAAUGUUUUAAAAAUUUGGAGAAUGUGGUUAAAAAUUAAGAAGAAAGUUUUGGGUUUACGUGCAAAAUGUUUUAUUGUAUGAAUGUGUGGUUGAAAAUAAGUAUGAGAAUUAAAGAGUUUUAUUUUAAAGGGCUUAUUGACACGAAACAAUAGAGUAAAUGAUGAUGGAGAAUAAAAGGAGACCCGUCUUCCUUGAUCAAAGCAGCCUCAUGGGUUUGACGCAAAAACGACCGAAGAUUGAGGUGCCUCUCUCUGCCAAGGUAUCUUCAAUAACAGAGAGACAGCUUUCGAUGGGCUAUUUCUGGAAAUUUUGAAGUGGGUUUUACUGUAAAGUUGUGAUUUUUAUGGCCAUUUCUUUGGAUUAUUGAAGUGGGGUUUGGAGAUUAUUAGGAGAAGUUUGGAUUUCUGUUGCUGAUUCUGCAUUGAGGGUGAGUUCUUGAACCAUAUUUUCAUUAGCAAAGACUUUAUUUUGAUCUUUUGAACUGUAAAAUGAAAUUUUGGUUUACUUAAUAUGAAGGGCUCUUGAAUUUUGCUUUGUUGAACAGAGUAGACUUGGUUACUUGUGUAGUAGUGUCUUGAUAGGCUACACAGUUACAUAGCUUUUCAUCGAAAAAUGAAUCCGACCUGCACUGGAAAGCGUGACUAAUUUUAAAGUUUGUGAUUGAACGUUGUUUAAUUUUUGACACCUUCCUUUUCAAUAAAUCUGUCUUUGUGUCAGACAUCCAAGUUCUUAUGUGGGGUUUUUGUUUUAAUUUGAAGAGCUAUACGUUUAAGCCCUUGUUUGAUCCUUGUUUUGGAGGAAAUAAUGUAUUUUGAAUAAUGGAUUGAUAGAGAAAGUGGGGUAAAAAAUUAAAGAAAAAUAUUGAAUUUUCGUAUAAUAUUAUUUUAAUCAAGAAUGUCUUGUUGAAAAUGAAUUUUGUUAAGAAUGUGAAUCAAACAAGGGCUAAGUCAUGGGUGAUUUUAAUGAUAAAAUUAUGAAAUUGUUAACUUUGAAAUAUUUUUAAGAUUGAGUGUUUAAAAGAAUAAUAAAAAAUUUCAAAUGGUUAAUUCAUGCUUCAUGAAUGAUAAAAUAAUAAUAUCAUUUGCAAUCGUUCAUUACUGUUGUCUUUCUAUGCAUGAUGCAAUAAAAAACUAUUACAUUAAUUUAUUAAAUUACUAAUUGAUACAUAUAUGACAUAGAACAUUUGCGAAAGCGAAUGUCUGUAAAUAAUAUUCUUCAUAAUAAGAUAUGCAAUUUGGGUCCACAUAAACUCAAAUAUUUUAAAUUCAAUUGUCAUUUGUCUCAGUUACAUCAGGGGAGACAAUAUUAUUACAGAAAGGACAGAGACAGAGAUAAUCCUUAAUGUCUUGUGAUUUUAUCUAAUCAUUGUUUAAUUAGGUCUAAUUACAUAAAAAACAAAAGAAAAAGAAAAAUCAUUUUGGUGGUUGAAGGGGUGGAGGGACAGGGGGGCGUCCCAUCCGGCAACAUUUUUAAAUUUUUUCUGAAUUUAUAUAAUGCAUAUGUAGUUUGCUCUGCUCCUGCAUAUUUUCGCCCUAAGUGAAAAUUCUGGAUCUGCCACCGGAUGGUUGGAUAUUUAGCCCCUGUUUGAUCCCCAUUAAAUUAAAUUAAAUUACAUUAUAUUUUAUUUUUCUCUCUCUUAUUUUCAACCACAUAAUCUUCCAUAAAAUAAUAUUACACAUAAAUCGAAAAUUUUUCCUUCUUUUCCUACCACUCAUUUUUCUAAAAAAUACUAUUCCCCACAUUUUCAUUUUCAAUUGCAAGUAAUGGGAAUCAAACAGGGGGCUUAAUGUCCAUUUAUGUAUGUUUCCAAUCAAAAAUUUGGUAUAGAUUCCAUUAUUGAUGGUUCGGAAUUGAGUUUCUUGAAUAAUGUUAUCUACGACCAAUUACUUUUAAAAUAAUUUUGAAUGACUGAAUGAUAAAUUAUCUGACGUCACAAACAUAAGGAUUAUUUUGACCAAAACAGCGCGAAUUUUAAUACAUGAAACAUGUUGAAAAUGAUAUCUUAUUUAAGUUUGUAUUUUUAUAUGUUUAUGAAGUUAUUUUAUAUUGCAAUUUGUCGUAAAAUACACCGGAAAUUGUUGCUUGAUCAAAAUUGUAUUGUAUUGGAGUUCUACCUCAUCAUUUCAAUAUGUCUAUUUGUCAACUAAUUCAUAUAGCUUUUGAGCGUCUCGUGAAUGGCAUCUGGUAGCUUCUGUCCUCUAAUGGAAGUCUGUUUCUUGGAACACAAUAGCACUUAUAUAAUUAAGUCAUUUCUUUUUAGCUGAGUGAAACGUGCUCUAUAAUCAGCUGAUAGUACAUUUAUUCACAGUUUAAUUCUUGCUUAACCAUUUUUGUCGAAUAUAAACGGACAUAUUUUGGCAAUGAAAAUAUUGGUCAUGCUACUUCAAUUAUGAACCCAAGUAAAAAAUCAAUAUUGCG